Molecule: long non-coding RNA, 610 nt
Organism: Clarias gariepinus (North African catfish)
Lineage: Eukaryota; Metazoa; Chordata; Actinopteri; Siluriformes; Clariidae
Exons: 5
Source: RefSeq, a predicted model, not a curated record
AGUGGGAGUAUUGAGCAUCAAUAAUGUCAUCAUUGUGGGAAAAUUGGAUGAUUGGAUUCGGGUAUAAUCCAAAGGGCUUCAGUGUUGUCAAACUCUUUGAUGAUGAAUACAAUGGAAAUUCUGAAGUUGGAGACCUCUUUGUUGUAAGAUGUGCAAAUUUAAAACCGAUCUUCCAUGUUGGAGUGUGCUGCGGUGAAGAGGAAGUCAUUCAAUUGACACAAUCAAACAAUGGAUCCUGGGCAUCAGCAUCAAGUUCUUCUGGAACUGUAGGAAAAUUGUUGUCGCCCAUAUCAGAGCUAAUUUGCGAUUUAGAUCCUACCCUACAUUCCUGUCCAGGUCUCGUUAGCAAAGUGAGCGUGGACGGGUUUUCUGGAGGACAAAAAUUUGCAAUUCAUAGAAGGGAAAAUGGAAUUCCUGAAUUAUUUAUGGAUAAUGUUAAAAUAGCAAUGCAGAUAAGUCCACAGUAUGAUCUUUUGUCAUACAACUGUAUUCAUUUUGCCAUGGAGCUUCUUGGAGUAAAGAAGUCUUAAACAGUUUCAACUUUCAGACCAAGCUUACUGGAAGAUGCCACUGAUGGACAGACAGACCAGCCAAGCCACUCACAAGAAAC